GCCGGAGUGGCGAAAUCGGUAUACGCACUAGACUCAAAAUCUAGCGAGGUUAACUCCUCAUGGGGGUUCGAUUCCCCCCUCCGGCA
Molecule: transfer RNA, 86 nt
Filed under: Pyrinomonadaceae bacterium
Lineage: Bacteria; Pseudomonadati; Acidobacteriota; Blastocatellia; Blastocatellales; Pyrinomonadaceae
Description: tRNA-Leu
Rfam family: tRNA
About the family: Transfer RNA (tRNA) molecules are approximately 80 nucleotides in length. Their secondary structure includes four short double-helical elements and three loops (D, anti-codon, and T loops).
Source: RNAcentral